AGUCUGGUGCCAGCAGCCGCGGUAAUUCCAGCUCCACUAGCGUAUGUUAAAAUUGUUGCGGUUAAAACGUUCGAAGUUGAUUAUUGUCCAGUGCGGGUGUGACAUCAUCAAGAAAUGAUUGUCAUCACUUUCCGGUUACUUGGACUAUUUGACUGAACACUAAAUGAAUAGCAUUGAUGUCUUUCACUGGACUAGAUGUCUAUUUAGUUCGGCUUACUUUUACCUUGAACAAAUUAAAGUGCUCAAAGCAGGCUUCAUAAGCUUGAAUAGUUUUGCAUGGAAUAAUGGAAAAAGACCUCGGUCUUAUUUGUUGCGCGGGUUCGCUCGCGUAAUGAUUUUCUAUUGGUUUGAUACAGAUCAAGAGGUAAUGAUUAAUAGAAGCAGUUGGGGGCAUUAGUAUCACGGCGCGAGAGGUGAAAUUCUUAGACCGUCGUAAGACUAACUAAAGCGAAAGCAUCUGCCAAGGAUGUUUUCAUUAAUCAAGAACGAAAGUUAGAGGAUCGAAGGCGAUUAGAUACCGCCCUAGUUCUAACUGUAAACGAUGACAGCUAGCGAUUGGGUGUCACUACAUAAUGGUGCACUCAGUAGCUUUCCGGGAAACUGAAGCUAGUUUCCGGGGGAAGUAUGGUUGCAAAGUUGAAACUUAAAGGAAUUGACAGAAGAUUACCUCCAGGAAUGGAAUUUGCGGCUUAAUUUGACCCAACACGGGAAAACUUACCAGGUCCGAACUCAAGUGGGUAUGACAAUUUGAUAGCGUUUUCACGAAUUUGAGGGUAAUGGUGCAUGGCCGUUCUUAGUUCGUGGAUUGAUUUGUCUGGUUAAUUCCGAUAACGAACGAGACUCAAUUAUUUAACUAGAUACCUAUCAGCCGUUGAGAUGCUGAAGUCAUAUGACGUGGUGUGUCGCAAGGCAUUCCAUGACAUUUGAUCGAGUCUCACCUGAUAGUUUGGCUUUCGAUUUCGGUCGAUAAGCUUUAUCUGCUUAAAUAGACAAAUUGCUUUCAGCAAUAUGAAAUUGAGCAAUAACAGGUCCGUGAUGCCCUUAGAUGUUCUGGGCGGCACGCGAGUUACAAUGAAGCUGACAACGUGUUACCUUAUCCGAGAGGAUUGGGAAAUCACUUAGCCAGCUUCCUUAGUUGGGAUUGUGGACUGAAAAAGUUCACAUGAACCAGGAACUCCUAGUAAGUGUGAGUCACUAGCUUGCAUUGAUUACGACCCUGAUCUUUGUACACACCGCCCGUCGCUAUUACCGACGGAUUAUUUAGUGAGAUCUCUGGAGGUAGACAUUGCGAUGCUUCGGUAUUGCGAUUGCUUUUGCCAAAGUUGAUCAAACUUGAUGAUUUGGAGGAAAUAAAAGUC
This 1358-nucleotide ribosomal RNA is filed under the name metagenome. RNAcentral describes it as "SSU rRNA". It matches the Rfam family "Eukaryotic small subunit ribosomal RNA", at positions 558 to 1790 of the family's 1831-position model. The record is from RNAcentral.